Molecule: ribosomal RNA, 466 nt
Filed under: uncultured bacterium
Lineage: Bacteria
Description: partial 16S ribosomal RNA
Rfam family: Bacterial small subunit ribosomal RNA
Source: RNAcentral
GAUGAACGCUGGCGGCGUGCUUAACACAUGCAAGUCGAACGGAAAGGCCCAAGCUUGCUUGGGUACUCGAGUGGCGAACGGGUGAGUAACACGUGGGUGAUCUGCCCUGCACUUCGGGAUAAGCCCGGGAAACUGGGUCUAAUACCGGAUAGGACCACAUUUUGGAUGGUGUGGUGGAAAGUUUUUCGGUGUGGGAUGAGCUCGCGGCCUAUCAGCUUGUUGGUGGGGUAAUGGCCUACCAAGGCGUCGACGGGUAGCCGGCCUGAGAGGGUGUACGGCCACAUUGGGACUGAGAUACGGCCCAGACUCCUACGGGAGGCAGCAGUGGGGAAUAUUGCACAAUGGGCGCAAGCCUGAUGCAGCGACGCCGCGUGGGGGAUGACGGCCUUCGGGUUGUAAACUCCUUUCGCUAGGGACGAAGCGUUAUGUGACGGUACCUGGAGAAGAAGCACCGGCUAACUACGUG